This 467-nucleotide ribosomal RNA is filed under the name Vibrio cholerae. Its description in RNAcentral is "partial 23S ribosomal RNA". It matches the Rfam family "Bacterial large subunit ribosomal RNA", at positions 341 to 817 of the family's 2925-position model. The record is from RNAcentral. Lineage: Bacteria; Pseudomonadati; Pseudomonadota; Gammaproteobacteria; Vibrionales; Vibrionaceae.
GCUGGAAAGCUUGGCGAUACAGGGUGAUAGCCCCGUAACCGACGCUUCAUCGAGCGUGAAAUCGAGUAGGGCGGGACACGUGAUAUCCUGUCUGAAUAUGGGGGGACCAUCCUCCAAGGCUAAAUACUCCUGACUGACCGAUAGUGAACCAGUACCGUGAGGGAAAGGCGAAAAGAACCCCUGUGAGGGGAGUGAAAUAGAACCUGAAACCGUGUACGUACAAGCAGUAGGAGCACCUUCGUGGUGUGACUGCGUACCUUUUGUAUAAUGGGUCAGCGACUUAUAUUCAGUGGCAAGGUUAACCGUAUAGGGGAGCCGUAGCGAAAGCGAGUCUUAACUGGGCGCUCAGUCUCUGGAUAUAGACCCGAAACCGGGUGAUCUAGCCAUGGGCAGGUUGAAGGUUGAGUAACAUCAACUGGAGGACCGAACCGACUAAUGUUGAAAAAUUAGCGGAUGACUUGUGGCUA